Molecule: transfer RNA, 79 nt
Filed under: Candidatus Cloacimonadota bacterium
Lineage: Bacteria; Pseudomonadati; Candidatus Cloacimonadota
Description: tRNA-Glu
Rfam family: tRNA
About the family: Transfer RNA (tRNA) molecules are approximately 80 nucleotides in length.
Source: RNAcentral
GCCGCCAUCGUCUAGUCCGGUCAAGGACGCCGGGUUUUCAUCCCGGAAACCGGGGGUUCAAAUCCCCCUGGCGGCACCA